RNAcentral lists this ribosomal RNA (751 nucleotides) under Leuconostoc lactis. RNAcentral describes it as "bacterial SSU rRNA". It matches the Rfam family "Bacterial small subunit ribosomal RNA", at positions 51 to 784 of the family's 1533-position model. The record is from RNAcentral. Lineage: Bacteria; Bacillati; Bacillota; Bacilli; Lactobacillales; Lactobacillaceae.
AUACAUGCAAGUCGAACGCGCAGCGAAAGGUGCUUGCACCUUUCAAGCGAGUGGCGAACGGGUGAGUAACACGUGGAUAACCUGCCUCAAGGCUGGGGAUAACAUUUGGAAACAGAUGCUAAUACCGAAUAAAACUUAGUAUCGCAUGAUACAAAGUUGAAAGGCGCUACGGCGUCACCUAGAGAUGGGUCCGCGGUGCAUUAGUUAGUUGGUGGGGUAAAGGCCUACCAAGACAAUGAUGCAUAGCCGAGUUGAGAGACUGAUCGGCCACAUUGGGACUGAGACACGGCCCAAACUCCUACGGGAGGCUGCAGUAGGGAAUCUUCCACAAUGGGCGAAAGCCUGAUGGAGCAACGCCGCGUGUGUGAUGAAGGCUUUAGGGUCGUAAAGCACUGUUGUAUGGGAAGAAAUGCUAGAAUAGGGAAUGAUUCUAGUUCGACGGUACCAUACCAGAAAGGGACGGCUAAAUACGUGCCAGCAGCCGCGGUAAUACGUAUGUCCCGAGCGUUAUCCGGAUUUAUUGGGCGUAAAGCGAGCGCAGACGGUUGAUUAAGUCUGAUGUGAAAGCCCGGAGCUCAACUCCGGAAUGGCAUUGGAAACUGGUUAACUUGAGUGUUGUAGAGGUAAGUGGAACUCCAUGUGUAGCGGUGGAAUGCGUAGAUAUAUGGAAGAACACCAGUGGCGAAGGCGGCUUACUGGACAACAACUGACGUUGAGGCUCGAAAGUGUGGGUAGCAAACAGGAUUAGAUA